Molecule: ribosomal RNA, 703 nt
Filed under: Russula versicolor
Lineage: Eukaryota; Fungi; Basidiomycota; Agaricomycetes; Russulales; Russulaceae
Description: eukaryotic LSU rRNA
Rfam family: 5.8S ribosomal RNA (bases 238-391)
Source: RNAcentral
AAAAGUCGUAACAAGGCAUCCGAAGAUGAACCUGCGGAAGGAUCAUUAUCGUACAACCGAGGUGCAAGGGUGUCGCUGACCUUUCAAGGUCGUGACGCCCGAGCGCUCUCGCCACAAUCCAUCUCACCCCUUUGUGCAUCACCGCGUGGGUCCCCCUUUGCGGGGAGGGCUCGCGUUUUCACACAAAACUUGAUACAGUCCAGAAUGUCUAUUUUUGCGGUAACACGCAAUCAAUACAACUUUCAACAACGGAUCUCUUGGCUCUCGCAUCGAUGAAGAACGCAGCGAAAUGCGAUACGUAAUGUGAAUUGCAGAAUUCAGUGAAUCAUCGAAUCUUUGAACGCACCUUGCGCCCCUUGGCAUUCCGAGGGGCACACCCGUUUGAGUGUCGUGAAAUUCUCAAAAUCCUUUUCUUUGAUCGGAAUAGGACUUUUGGACUUGGAGGUUCAAUGCUCGCUUUCGCCUUUGAAAGCGAGCUCCUCUCAAAUGAAUCAGUGGGGUCCGCUUUGCUGGUCCUUGACGUGAUAAGAUGCUUCUACGUUUUGGAUUUGGCAUUGUUUUCUCCGCUCCUAACUGUCCCCAUGGGACAACGAUGGUGCUUCGGUCGUCGCCAUUUAUGGCGGGAGGCUGAACCCACAAAGAACCUUGACCUUAAAUCGGGUGAGACUACCCGUUGAACUUAAGCAUAUCAAUAAGCGGAGGA